ACUCCUACGGGAGGCAGCAGUGAGGAAUAUUGGUCAAUGGACGCAAGUCUGAACCAGCCAUGUCGCGUGCAGGAAGACUGCCCCUAUGGGUUGUAAACUGCUUUUUAUACGGGAAGAAAUAUAGCUACGUGUAGUUAUUUGCCGGUACCGUAUGAAUAAGCAUCGGCUAACUCCGUGCCAGCAGCCGCGGUAAUACGGAGGAUGCGAGCGUUAUCCGGAUUCAUUGGUUUAAAGGUGCGUAGGCGGAAGUAUAAGUCAGGGUGAAGUUUGUGGCUCAACCAUAAAAUUGCCUUUGAUACUGUAUUUCUUGAGUACAUUUGAGGUAGGCGGAAUGUGUUGUGUAGCGGUGAAAUGCUUAGAUAUAACACAGAACACCGAUUGCGAAGGCAGCUUACUAAACUGUAACUGACGCUGAUGCACGAAAGCGU
RNAcentral lists this ribosomal RNA (428 nucleotides) under uncultured bacterium. Its description in RNAcentral is "bacterial SSU rRNA". It matches the Rfam family "Bacterial small subunit ribosomal RNA", at positions 335 to 762 of the family's 1533-position model. The record is from RNAcentral.